Pieris brassicae (large cabbage white) is the source of this 779-nucleotide long non-coding RNA. RefSeq lists it as uncharacterized. Lineage: Eukaryota; Metazoa; Arthropoda; Insecta; Lepidoptera; Pieridae. The record is from RefSeq and is a predicted model, not a curated record. The transcript is spliced from 3 exons.
GAUUUAUAUCUGUCAGUUUUUUGAGACUUUAUUGACUUUGAAAUGUUGUCAAUGUUAACAUUAUCAUGAGAAUUUACUAUAUUCUCUUCAGGUCGCAACGCAGGCCUGGAUUGAAGUAAUUUGUCUCAUCUACUAUGACAUCUCUGACAGUAAUAAAUUUUUCGCAUUUAGGAUUCCAAACUUUAUAACCGUUUGGUUCGUAUCCCACAAGAAUACCUUUCCAUGACUUAACAUCGAAUUUUGUCUUAUAUAACUUAUCAUGCACAUAAACUGUUGAACCAAAAAAAUUUAAAUAUUUUAUUUGUUGUUUUUUGUUAUGCCACAUUUACGAAUUCAAUCAUCAUGUGACGUAAUUGGUGAAUAAUAUUGUAAUUGAAAAGGAUAUUUCUCUUUAAAUGUACAAGCUGUGUGUGAUGCAGAAAUAAAAUAUAUUAAUGUUGUUCCCCAUGGCCUGGUGCCGCUCAUGAUGCAACAACUUUUGUAAACUCAGUUCUACAAGUUAAUUCAAAUUUAUUGAUAAGAAGGUAGAACUUGAUAAAUGUGCCAACUAAAUUAACAGGUAUAUUUGUUUAUAGCUUAAUAUCGUACAGGUCUACUGAGAAAUCACUGGAUGGUUGUUAAUAGUGCUUACUCAAAUAUACCUUAUUCAUUAACACCAUUUCUCUGACUGACCAGAGAUAUGAUGAAGUACACAUUAAGAAUAGGAAUACUAUAGAGAGAUAUACCGGCAGAAGUUUUAGUUCCAACACUUGAUACAGUUUCAAGUCAAGAAGUUAAUG